UCUUUAUGGGGUGACUGCGUACCUUUUGUAUAAUGGGUCAGCGACUUAUAUUCUGUAGCAAGGUUAACCGAAUAGGGGAGCCGAAGGGAAACCGAGUCUUAACUGGGCGUUAAGUUGCAGGGUAUAGACCCGAAACCCGGUGAUCUAGCCAUGGGCAGGUUGAAGGUUGGGUAACACUAACUGGAGGACCGAACCGACUAAUGUUGAAAAAUUAGCGGAUGACUUGUGGCUGGGGGUGAAAGGCCAAUCAAACCGGGAGAUAGCUGGUUCUCCCCGAAAGCUAUUUAGGUAGCGCCUCGUGAAUUCAUCUCCGGGGGUAGAGCACUGUUUCGGCAAGGGGGUCAUCCCGACUUACCAACCCGAUGCAAACUGCGAAUACCGGAGAAUGUUAUCACGGGAGACACACGGCGGGUGCUAACGUCCGUCGUGAAGAGGGAAACAACCCAGACCGCCAGCUAAGGUCCCAAAGUCAUGGUUAAGUGGGAAACGAUGUGGGAAGGCCCAGACAGCCAGGAUGUUGGCUUAGAAGCAGCCAUCAUUUAAAGAAAGCGUAAUAGCUCACUGGUCGAGUCGGCCUGCGCGGAAGAUGUAACGGGGCUAAACCAUGCACCGAAGCUGCGGCAGCGACGCUGAUGCGUUGUUGGGUA
This 647-nucleotide ribosomal RNA is filed under the name Escherichia coli. RNAcentral's name for it is "partial 23S ribosomal RNA". It matches the Rfam family "Bacterial large subunit ribosomal RNA", at positions 582 to 1230 of the family's 2925-position model. Lineage: Bacteria; Pseudomonadati; Pseudomonadota; Gammaproteobacteria; Enterobacterales; Enterobacteriaceae. The record is from RNAcentral.